CCUACGGGGGGCAACAGUAGGGAAUCUUUCACAAUGGGCGAAAGCCUGAUGGAGCAACGCCGCGUGCAGGAUGAAGGCCUUCGGGUUGUAAACUGCUUUUAUAAGCGAGAAAUAUGAUGGUAACUUAUGAAUAAGGAUCGGCUAACUACGUGCCAGCAGCCGCGGUAAUACGUAGGGGGCAAGCGUUAUCCGGAUUUACUGGGUGUAAAGGGAGCGUAGACGGCAGUGCAAGUCUGGGGUGAAAGGCGGGGGCUCAACCCCCGGACUGCUCGGGAAACUGUACGGCUGGAGUGCAGGAGAGGUAAGUGGAAUUCCUAGUGUAGCGGUGAAAUGCGUAGAUAUUAGGAGGAACACCAGUGGCGAAGGCGGCUUACUGGACUGUAACUGACGUUGAGGCUCGAAAGCGUGGGGAGCAAACAGGAUUAGAUACCCCUGUAGUC
This 440-nucleotide ribosomal RNA is filed under the name uncultured bacterium. Its description in RNAcentral is "partial 16S ribosomal RNA". It matches the Rfam family "Bacterial small subunit ribosomal RNA", at positions 338 to 795 of the family's 1533-position model. The record is from RNAcentral.